RNAcentral lists this ribosomal RNA (467 nucleotides) under uncultured bacterium. Its description in RNAcentral is "partial 16S ribosomal RNA". It matches the Rfam family "Bacterial small subunit ribosomal RNA", at positions 29 to 507 of the family's 1533-position model. The record is from RNAcentral.
ACGAACGCUGGCGGCGUGCUUAACACAUGCAAGUCGAACGGAAAGGCCCUGCUUUUGUGGGGUGCUCGAGUGGCGAACGGGUGAGUAACACGUGAGUAACCUGCCCUUGACUUUGGGAUAACUUCAGGAAACUGGGGCUAAUACCGGAUAGGAGCUCCUGCUGCAUGGUGGGGGUUGGAAAGUUUCGGCGGUUGGGGAUGGACUCGCGGCUUAUCAGCUUGUUGGUGGGGUAGUGGCUUACCAAGGCUUUGACGGGUAGCCGGCCUGAGAGGGUGACCGGCCACAUUGGGACUGAGAUACGGCCCAGACUCCUACGGGAGGCAGCAGUGGGGAAUAUUGCACAAUGGGCGGAAGCCUGAUGCAGCAACGCCGCGUGCGGGAUGACGGCCUUCGGGUUGUAAACCGCUUUCGCCUGUGACGAAGCGUGAGUGACGGUAAUGGGUAAAGAAGCACCGGCUAACUGCGCG